GCGGCGNNUGNNNGGCAAAAGAGCUCAAAUUUGAAAUCUGGCUCUUUCAGAGUCCGAGUUGUAAUUUGAAGAAGGUAUCUUUGGGUCUGGCUCUUGUCUAUGUUUCUUGGAACAGAACGUCACAGAGGGUGAGAAUCCCGUGCGAUGAGAUGAUCCAGGCCUAUGUAAAGUUCCUUCGAAGAGUCGAGUUGUUUGGGAAUGCAGCUCUAAGUGGGUGGUAAAUUCCAUCUAAAGCUAAAUAUUGGCGAGAGACCGAUAGCGAACAAGUACAGUGAUGGAAAGAUGAAAAGAACUUUGAAAAGAGAGUGAAAAAGUACGUGAAAUUGUUGAAAGGGAAGGGCUUGAGAUCAGACUUGGUAUUUUGUAUGUUACUUCUUCGGGGGUGGCCUCUACAGUUUAUCGGGCCAGCAUCAGUUUGGGCGGUAGGAGAAUUGCGUUGGAAUGUGGCACGGCUUCGGUUGUGUGUUAUAGCCUUCGUUCGAUACUGCCAGCCUAGACUGAGGACUGCGGUUUAUACCUAGGAUGUUGGCAUAAUGAUCUU
This 541-nucleotide ribosomal RNA is filed under the name Candida tropicalis. RNAcentral describes it as "partial 26S ribosomal RNA". It matches the Rfam family "Eukaryotic large subunit ribosomal RNA", at positions 86 to 641 of the family's 3401-position model. Lineage: Eukaryota; Fungi; Ascomycota; Pichiomycetes; Serinales; Debaryomycetaceae. The record is from RNAcentral.